UGGGGAAUAUUGCACAAUGGGCGCAAGCCUGAUGCAGCCAUGCCGCGUGUAUGAAGAAGGCCUUCGGGUUGUAAAGUACUUUCAGCGGGGAGGAAGGUGUUGAGGUUAAUAACCUCAGCAAUUGACGUUACCCGCAGAAGAAGCACCGGCUAACUCCGUGCCAGCAGCCGCGGUACUACGGAGGGUGCAAGCGUUAAUCGGAAUUACUGGGCGUAAAGCGCACGCAGGCGGUCUGUCAAGUCGGAUGUGAAAUCCCCGGGCUCAACCUGGGAACUGCAUUCGAAACUGGCAGGCUAGAGUCUUGUAGAGGGGGGUAGAAUUCCAGGUGUAGCGGUGAAAUGCGUAGAGAUCUGGAGGAAUACCGGUGGCGAAGGCGGCCCCCUGGACAAAGACUGACGCUCAGGUGCGAAAGCGUGGGGAGCAAACA
This 427-nucleotide ribosomal RNA is filed under the name uncultured bacterium. Its description in RNAcentral is "partial 16S ribosomal RNA". It matches the Rfam family "Bacterial small subunit ribosomal RNA", at positions 355 to 774 of the family's 1533-position model. The record is from RNAcentral.